CUUUAGGUAGCUCAGUCGGAAGAGCAAGCAGAACACAUACUUCUCUCUGUUGACGCUGGUUCGAUUCCAGCCUGGGGGU
Non-coding RNA from Stereum hirsutum FP-91666 SS1, 79 nucleotides. The record is from the annotation of a RefSeq genome assembly. Lineage: Eukaryota; Fungi; Basidiomycota; Agaricomycetes; Russulales; Stereaceae.